RNAcentral lists this ribosomal RNA (585 nucleotides) under uncultured bacterium. RNAcentral's name for it is "bacterial SSU rRNA". It matches the Rfam family "Bacterial small subunit ribosomal RNA", at positions 337 to 916 of the family's 1533-position model. The record is from RNAcentral.
UCCUACGGGAGGCAGCAGUGAGGAAUAUUGGACAAUGGAGGCAACUCUGAUCCAGCCAUGCCGCGUGCAGGAAGACGGCCCUAUGGGUUGUAAACUGCUUUUAUACAGGAAGAAACGUAGGUACGUGUACCUAUUUGACGGUACUGUAUGAAUAAGGAUCGGCUAACUCCGUGCCAGCAGCCGCGGUAAUACGGAGGAUCCAAGCGUUAUCCGGAAUCAUUGGGUUUAAAGGGUCCGCAGGCGGUUUGUUAAGUCAGAGGUGAAAUCCUACCGCUCAACGGUAGAACGGCCUUUGAUACUGACAGGCUUGAGUUAUUGUGAAGUAGUUAGAAUGUGUAGUGUAGCGGUGAAAUGCAUAGAUAUUACACAGAAUACCGAUUGCGAAGGCAGAUUACUAACAAUAUACUGACGCUGAGGGACGAAAGCGUGGGUAGCGAACAGGAUUAGAUACCCUGGUAGUCCACGCCGUAAACGAUGGUCACUAGCUGUUUGAUGUACAUUGGUACGUUGAGUGGCUAAGCGAAAGUGAUAAGUGACCCACCUGGGGAGUACGCUCGCAAGAGUGAAACUCAAAGGAAUUGACGG